CCUCCCCCGCCCGCCCAGCCCCACCAGGAAGCCCAGGGCGGACUCGUCGAGCUCCUAAUGCACGCGGCGGCGAGAAAAACGCUCUUCAACUUUCCGCCGGCGCCCUCCCGCGCUUCCCCGGGCCACAGGGUCGCCUGUCAACCGGACAGAGCCCGCAAGAGCGGGUCAUGGGCGGUCGCCCAGCGGCGCCGAGAGCAGGAGGAAGCCGGAGCCCGCGCGGGCGCCGUGGAUCCCCUCGGCCUCCCGUUGGUAUCUUCCAUCUCAUGCGUUCAGCAUUGUAACCUCGCGGCGGGCGUGCAGACCGGACGCCCUCCCGCUUCUUCUACCGACUGCUAGGCACACCAGUGGGUUCAUUUUGAAAGAGGCCCUUGCACCGGGCUUUGCAAGGAAGCCGGCAAGGUUAGAUUGAAGGUUAGAAGCCAAUUAGACUAGAAUCCUGCGAUCUGGUGAGACUGCCGCCUUAAAAUGCACCAAACAGUUUUUGAACCUGGAGGGCUAACAGGCGGGAAAAACAUCUGCAAGACUGCCACCGUGUAUUUUUCUCAAGUAACAGGCUAUCCACAGUUUUGGAAUUCCUUAGUGAAACUGUCACACAGGCACAAACACAUGUCAGCUUUCCUUCUAGUUUGUAAAUAAUAUUUGUAAUUUACAGGCCACUGUAUUCCCAACUUUGCACCAUGUGAUUUAGAGAAAGCAAAGCUCCCUCUUUAAAAAUAAUAUGUUACUUCUGAAAUACCGGGAUAUUCCACGGCAAGUAAGCCAUAUUGUCGCCAGAGCAAAUAAACCGCAGCCCCAUAUCAUAAUUCACUGGGUGCUAUAAGAUGUAACUUGGCUUUGCUUUGAAUGGAAAGAAUCCUGAACGUCUGUGAUGUGAUGAAGUUUUGGAGACUGGGGGCAGGAUUUCCUUUGAAUGUAAGGAAUUCGGAUAACUUGUUCAAGGAUGAUUCUAGUGAAAAACGUUUGUCCCAUGUUUGUUGGGACAAAAAUGCUGGAUAUGGUACAACAUUCUUCCUGCAGGUUCGGUUUUGUUGAAGAGAGUGAGGCCAGCUCGAGGUGAAGGAAAAACAUCAGAAAGGUGCUAAAGUGCAGAAAUAUCUUCCAGAGGCACUAAUAGCCGACUUUAGUUCUUGACCUUUAGCUAGAUCCACAAAGCACUGAGUUAAAAUUGUACACUGAUCCCUUCCAGAACAAAUUAAUUAAUUAAAUGGUGCCUCUUCCCAGCGUUAAUCGUUUAAAAGGACUCAAGUACCCACACAGUUUAAGCAAACUAAAAGAACACUGACACUUUCUCAGAGAACAGGGAUGGGAACUUUCUAUCUGCCCAUUAGUAUCUACCCCAAGCUACGAAGACUUCCAUUCCUCUUAUUAAGCAUUCAGCAACUACAUUUAGUGCCUACUAUGCCAGUGAUGCAAGAAUGGAUAAGACAGUCCCUACACUCAAGGAUAACGCCUCUAGUAGGUGAGAGACAAACCGAUUAAUUCUGCAUAAGGGAUAAGUGCUGUAUGUGGGAAGCAAUCCAAUGAGGGCUCUGAGGAUGGCAAAGGAAGGGUUCCUGGAGGAUUUACAUUUAACUGGUGCCUUGAAAGGUGUGUAGAAGUUGGCAAGAUCAAAAGGGAGUAGAGUCCAGGUGGAGAAGAGAAAAGAGCAGGGCAGGCUGGAUGGCAUGGCUCACACCUGUAAUCCCAGCACUUUGGGAGGCCAUGGAGGGAGGAUUGAGGCCAGGAGUUUGAGACCAGCCUGGGUGACAUUAAAAGACCCUGUCUCAAAGAAAACGAAAGGAGCAGGGUAUAUACAAGGGGUCUGCCAGCCUUCUCAGCCUUUCUGUGAGAAGCGAGGGUAGGGUAGUACAGGAGAGUGGCAGGAGAUGACACUAAAAGUAGGUCUGUGUUGAUCUAACGAGUCUCAACUUUACUGCCAAAACUAAUGAACUAGGAAAGUUUAGGCAGCAAGGGCCAGAGAUGGAGUCUGGACUUGUAUUGCAGAAAGUUCCUGUGACGGCAGCUUGGAGGGUGAAUGAGAGUGUGGGAUGGAGGGGUGAAUGGGUGUGGACAGACUGGAAAAAUGACUCAUGCAGGGAAUGAGGAAGGGAGGAGCCUUGGGAGACUCUCAAAUCCCUGGCUUAGCCUACUGAAUUGCUUGCUACUUGCCUUUUUAUGUCUUCAUUUUGCCUCCCAUUGUCUGUGAUAUUAAAGGCCUAACUUCUUAGUAGAGCAAACUUUGCAUCUGCUAGCAGGUUGGUGCCCUAGCUAGCUUCCAUGCCCCUCUGCUUAGAAUGCCUGCGAACCACUAAGGACUAAUCCUAGUGGUAGAAAUUUAUUUUCAAUUGUUCUCAAACCCUUGUAGAAUUCCAAGUUAGAACUGUAGUGUUCUUUUUUCAUGUGGGUUAGAAAAUUUGCUGUUUGGAGCAACAUGGUGAAACACAGGACUUUUGAACCUGCUUAUGGUGCAAAAGGGGAAAUUAUAUUUCUACUUCAACACUGGAGGAGGGGGGACUUCUGGGAGCAAAAGAGAAAUGGAAACUGAGAUGAGACAUGUUUUUUACUCCAUGACAGAAUACAAAGAAAUACAAGGAUGAUCCUUUAAUGUUAGAAACAGUAGAAUAACCAUCCUGGUAAAUAAAAAAGGAGAAAAAAUGUUAUUUUACAUUAGAUACAGAAAAACAGAAUGGCUAAGAAAACUCACAAAGCAAUGGUCAAUCUAUAACUCGAGUCCAAAUAAAUUGUGAUAUAACACUAAAUUACCACUGAUUUGGCCUAAUUGACUAUCACUGGAUAACAUUAUAACAUGAAUGAUAAUAUUUAAAAUUUUAAAGCACUGUAACAAACACCAGAUCAUGUUAAAACUAUUCAAUCAUGUUGUCAGCUUUCAACUGCCAGUAGCAUCCUAACCACAUUUCAAACUAUGGAAAUUACUAAAAAAUCAUUAUUGUAAUAAAAAGUUAAUAGUUCCUCAUUUAGAAUACCAUUGAUAUUCCCUCAGUGCCAGGAGAACAUUAUGGUUUCUCCUAUUUCUGUGAAGUGUAUAGUCUACAGGUUCAUAAGUGAGUAUAUCCAUGAGUAUAAAAAGAAGGUCAUUUAUGGGUGGAGAGGGAAAUUAUAGAAAACAAUUUCAGAUGAAAUAAACUACAUUUUCAGAUAAAGGAAAGAGUGUUCACUGCAGGUUCCUGAAAUAUUUCAGUCCAUUCAAGUUUUAAUUAUACCAAUGAAUCUCAAUAAAAAUACAGUUAAGGAAUAUGGUUUUUAUAGAUAAUGUCAGCUCCUUGUUUACCAAUAAUAAAGAUAAAGAUAAUGGCA
RNAcentral lists this long non-coding RNA (3294 nucleotides) under Homo sapiens (human). Its description in RNAcentral is "HSALNT0315413". The record is from RNAcentral. Lineage: Eukaryota; Metazoa; Chordata; Mammalia; Primates; Hominidae.